RNAcentral lists this ribosomal RNA (803 nucleotides) under uncultured archaeon. RNAcentral describes it as "bacterial SSU rRNA". The stretch from base 1 to 647 matches the Rfam family "Archaeal small subunit ribosomal RNA", at positions 125 to 828 of the family's 1478-position model. The record is from RNAcentral.
GAUAACCUCGGGAUCAUGGAGAAGAUAAUACCCUAUAGACUAUGGAGGCUGGAAUGCACUGUAGUCGAAAGGUCCGCCGCCAUAGGAUGGUUUCUCGCACAGAUAGGUUGUUGUUGGGGUAACGGCCCAACAAGCCUGUAAUCGGUACGGGUUGUGGGAGCAAGAGCCCGGAGAUGGAUUCUGAGACACGAAUCCAGGCCCUACGGGGCGCAGCAGGCGCGAAAACUUUACAAUGCGGGAAACCGUGAUAGGGGAACUCCGAGUGCCCGUAAAAUCGGGCUGUCCACCAGUUUAAAUAACUGGUGAAAAAGGGCGGGCAAGACCGGUGCCAGCCGCCGCGUUAUACUGGCGGCUCGAGUGGUGGCACUAUUACUGGGCUAAAGCGUUCGUAGUGGUGUGUAGUCCUCGCGCACCCUUCGGCUCACCGGAAGCGUCUCAGGAUAUGGCAGACUAGGACGGGAGAGUGAGGGUACCAGGGUAGGAGUGAAUCUGUAUCUUGGGGACACCUGUGCGAGGGCUCACCAGAACGCUCGACAGUGAGGACGAAGCUGGGACCAACGGAUAAAUACCCGGGUAGCCCCCUGUAACGAUGCGCGUAGUGUAUCCUGACACAAUCAUGAGGUGCGAAAAAAUCCUGAACGUGCGCUGGGAGUAGGUCCAAGUGAACUUAAGAUUGGGGGGACACACAAGUGAGCCUGCGUUAUCGAUCCCGCGGAACCCCCUAACGCGAUGAUGCGGGGGAAGCCACUGAUACUGAAGAGUGAGGCGUCUAGUCGAUGUGACUCUGUAUAAGAAGACCGACC